GACGAACGCUGGCGGCGUGCCUAAUACAUGCAAGUCGAACGCUUCUUUCCUCCCGAGUGCUUGCACUCAAUUGGAAAGAGGAGUGGCGGACGGGUGAGUAACACGUGGGUAACCUACCCAUCAGAGGGGGAUAACACUUGGAAACAGGUGCUAAUACCGCAUAACAGUUUAUGCCGCAUGGCAUAAGAGUGAAAGGCGCUUUCGGGUGUCGCUGAUGGAUGGACCCGCGGUGCAUUAGCUAGUUGGUGAGGUAACGGCUCACCAAGGCCACGAUGCAUAGCCGACCUGAGAGGGUGAUCGGCCACACUGGGACUGAGACACGGCCCAGACGCCUACGGGAGGCAGCAGUAGGGAAUCUUCGGCAAUGGACGAAAGUCUGACCGAGCAACGCCGCGUGAGUGAAGAAGGUUUUCGGAUCGUAAAACUCUGUUGUUAGAGAAGAACAAGGACGUUAGUAACUGAACGUCCCCUGACGGUAUCUAACCAGAAAGCCACGGCUAACUACGUG
RNAcentral lists this ribosomal RNA (508 nucleotides) under uncultured bacterium. Its description in RNAcentral is "partial 16S ribosomal RNA". It matches the Rfam family "Bacterial small subunit ribosomal RNA", at positions 28 to 507 of the family's 1533-position model. The record is from RNAcentral.